UGCCAGCAGCCGCGGUAAUACGGAGGGUGCAAGCGUUGCUCGGAAUCACUGGGCUUAAAGGGUGCGUAGGCGGUUUAAUAGGUAGGGUGUGAAAUGCCAGGGCUCAACCUUGGCACGGCGCUCUAAACUGUUAAACUUGAGUGAGAUAGGGGUGUACGGAACUUCCGGUGGAGCGGUGAAAUGCGUUGAUAUCGGAAGGAACACCGGUGGCGAAAGCGGUACACUGGGUCUUAACUGACGCUGAGGCACGAAAGCUAGGGUAGCGAACGGGAUUAGAUA
Molecule: ribosomal RNA, 279 nt
Filed under: uncultured bacterium
Lineage: Bacteria
Description: partial 16S ribosomal RNA
Rfam family: Bacterial small subunit ribosomal RNA
Source: RNAcentral